Molecule: ribosomal RNA, 253 nt
Filed under: uncultured bacterium
Lineage: Bacteria
Description: partial 16S ribosomal RNA
Rfam family: Bacterial small subunit ribosomal RNA
Source: RNAcentral
UACGGAGGGGACUAGCGUUGUUCGGAAUUACUGGGCGUAAAGCGCGCGUAGGCGGAUUUGCAAGUCGGGGGUGAAAGCCCGAGGCUCAACCUCGGAACUGCCCUCGAUACUGCAAAUCUCGAGUCCGAGAGAGGUGAGUGGAAUUCCUAGUGUAGAGGUGAAAUUCGUAGAUAUUAGGAGGAACACCAGUGGCGAAGGCGACUUCCUGGCCUGUUCUUGACGCUGAGGCGCGAAAGCUAGGGUAGCAAACGGG